AUUCAAAUUCCCAGAGAUCAGUCUUUUCAGGUACUCCACCUGAAACGUGAAACCGUAUCAAAAACCCCCAAAUCUCCAAUUCCCUCAUUCAUCUUUGGAAUCCCUAGACUUAUGAUUGUUUUGGAGGCUGCGAGCAGUUGCAUUUUUCUCACUUGAUUUGGCGCUUGAUCCACAGACCGAGGUUCUUGUUGCCAGAAACCCUAAUUCAUCAGCGGUUUCACAGCAGCAAAAGGUUGCACACUAUAAGCAAGCUGGCGUUGGCCCAAAGGCACCAGGAGAUCUACUCUGAACUUGGUGGAGUGAUGGACUAUGAGGAAAAUCAAAGCCAGCUGAAUAGGAGGCAGCAUCAAAUUUCUCGUACAGUCAGAGUGACAUUCAGGAGGCAGCAUCUAUUUGCUCCUCCUGAAAAAUAUGAGCACGAGCAAAUGGCACAACCAUGGGGAUUGAAAUUCCAUUUACUUCUCUGAAAGUUAUGGCAUUCAACAAAGAAUGUCAGUAUUUUAAUUUUUAGCAACAUUUUCUGAUUCCUAUAUACCAUUAAAUAUAUAUAUAUAUAUAUAUAUAUAUAUAUUUAAUGGUUUGACUCUGCAGUAUUGGAUGGGUGACUGAAUUAUGUUAUAAUUUUUAAUGAGAUUGUUAGAAGUUGUUACGCACAGUGUUCUGCAUUUGCCGCAUGCAGUUUGCCUGCACUCAGUAUCACAGCACCUGUUUGGAUUGGUUUCGUGGUUACUUGAUUUGCUUGAUAUAUGGAAUUUUGAGGAUGAUCUUGUCAUUGAAA
This is a long non-coding RNA of Malania oleifera, 778 nucleotides long. RefSeq lists it as uncharacterized. NCBI's taxonomy places the organism in Eukaryota, Viridiplantae, Streptophyta, Magnoliopsida, Santalales, Ximeniaceae. The record is from RefSeq and is a predicted model, not a curated record. The transcript has 3 exons.